GCGAGGGUGGCGGAAUUGGCAGACGCGCUGGAUUUAGGUUCCAGUGUCCUUUGGAUGUGCAGGUUCGAGUCCUGUCCCUCGCA
This is a non-coding RNA of Myxococcales bacterium SG8_38_1, 83 nucleotides long. NCBI's taxonomy places the organism in Bacteria, Pseudomonadati, Myxococcota, Myxococcia, Myxococcales. The record is from Rfam.